GCGAGCAUCGUAUAAUGGUAUUACCUUAGCUUCCCAAGCUAAUGACACGGGUUCGAUUCCCGUUGUUCGCUCCA
RNAcentral lists this transfer RNA (74 nucleotides) under Photobacterium rosenbergii. RNAcentral's name for it is "tRNA-Gly". It matches the Rfam family "tRNA". Rfam says of the family: Transfer RNA (tRNA) molecules are approximately 80 nucleotides in length. Their secondary structure includes four short double-helical elements and three loops (D, anti-codon, and T loops). The record is from RNAcentral. Lineage: Bacteria; Pseudomonadati; Pseudomonadota; Gammaproteobacteria; Vibrionales; Vibrionaceae. RNAcentral also lists the same sequence under 7 other names.